GAUAAGUUCACAGCAUAAUGAACCUUUCUUUUUUUUUAUUAGACUAUGAUUUUAUCACAUAAGUGGUAGGUUACAGGAUUAUUCAAUAAACGGUGAAUUGUCAAAAAUGUAGGCCUCGAUUUAAUAAGAUUUCCAAAUGAUUCAAUACCGCUAGAAAAGAUUUCCAAAUGAUUCAAUACCGCUAGAAAAGAUUUCCAAAUGAUUCAAUACUGCUAGAAAAGAUUUCCAAAUGAUUCAAUACUGCUAGAAAAGAUUUCCAAAUGAUUCAAUACCCCUAGAAAAGAUUUCCAAAUGAUUCAAUACUGCUAGAAAAGAUUUCCAAAUGAUUCAAUACCGCUAGAAAAGAUUUCCAAAUGAUUCAAUACCCCUAGAAAUGAUUUCCAAAUGAUUCAAUACCCCUUGAAAUGAUUUCCAAAUGAUUCAAUACCGCUAGAAAAGAUUUCCAAAUGAUUCAGUACUGCUAGAAAAGAUUUCCAAAUGAUUCAAUACCCCUAGAAAUGAUUUCCAAAUGAUUUAGCUACAGAAGUCACCAUUAAAGUCUAUGGGAGUUUUUGUAGAUAAAUCGUUUGGAAAGUUUUCCUAACAGAAUGUGAAUUCCAAGUGAAUUUCUGAUUUUUGGCCAAAAUAAUCAAACUGAAAACAUAGCUGACUUUCCCAUUCAGUUACUUUUUCCUUACAAUCUGACAAUCGCUUUGGAUUUUGAGACAAUCCACACUUUAGUGAAUAAUUCUAAUAGUUUAAUUACGUUCCUCAGUCAUUAAAUAGUGUAGUGUGGACCCUACCAUUUACAUAUAAAAACAUUUAUUAGUAGGUUACAUAUAUCUACCCCCAACCAAAACUUACCUAGAGAUUCUAAACACAUUUUAAGGGUCACUUUACGUCUGAUAAUAUAUAGUCAUUGCCAAUAUUAUGGUGCAAAAAGGUCCUCUGGUGUUGUUCCAAUGCAGAUUUUCUUGCAAAUGCAGCAGUUUACAAAAAUGUAUAAGACUCCUCCUUCAGUAACUGAUGUCAAAGGAAUAAUUUAUACUUCCUUCUUUGUUUUACAAAUAUGUCCAACUUUCUAGCACAGUUGUAAGAACACUGUGCACAACCAUUUAACGAAGUUAUGAUUAGGGCUGUUCAUAGGAUGAUAGCAGCUGCCAUACGACUACAAUCAGCUUAUAUACUAGUUCCACCCAUCAGAUGUGGACUGUUGGCUGGAAUGCAUAUCCUAUAUAUAACGGCUAGAAAGGUUUGCGGUAUGCAAUCAGACCUCUGGAAGGUACUCUUCUACUGCUGGUUCCUUGGAUUUGCAGCAAAAGUAAUUGCAUUAAAAAAUUAUGUUACUUCCAGUUUGGAGUGUCCUUUUAAUUGACAAGCACUAUACUUGUUGCAAUAAUUAAAUACGUAUUAGUACAUUGAAUUUUUAAUUUUUUUAAUUAAAAGGACAUUCUAGGCACCAUAACAAUUUAAUGUUAUUGCAGUGAUAUGUCAUUAUGACAGUGGCAUACCACUGUCCAAAAGUCUCCAGUCACCAUAAUCCCUGCAAUUACAUGAAGUUGUUAUGGUUCUUAGAAUGUCUUGUCAAUAAAAAGAAAAAAAAUCAAUGUACUGAUACCUAUUUACCUACUGUUUUUGAAUAGUUUAUCAUUGAAUUAAGGUCCCUAUCAUCCUGGUGCCUCUCUGCUGCUUUGUGUAAUGCUAUUGCACAAGCCCGAGCAGCAAUAAGUGGUAUUAUAGGUUUAGAGUGUCAGCACCUCCAGUCUAUAACUGGUAUGAGUUUGUACACUCUGAAUUGCCAUCCAGAUGGAGGUGGAGAUACGGGUACCUGGGAACUCAUUCUGGGUUAAACCAUUACGAAAACAGUGAGAUAAAAUGGUUAUAAUUCCUACCGUGACUCAGCGAAUCUAAUUCAACGAAUAUUACAAACAGGAAGAUUUUAUAUUCCAUACAAAUUGCCUGACAGCAUUAUUAUUUAUAAAGCUAAAUUACUUAAAGGACCACUAUAGUGCCAGGAAAACAUACUCGUUUUCCUGGCACUAUAGUGCCCUGGGGGUGCCCCCACCCUCAGGGCCCCCCUCCCGCCGGGCUCUCAGAUGAGGAAGGGGUUAAACUUACCUCUUUCUCCAGCGCCGGGCGGGGAACUCUCCUCCUCCUCUCCGCCUCCUCUCCUCCUCCUUGGCUGAAUGAGCAUGUGCGGCAAGAGCCGCACGCGCAUUCAUCCAGUCUCAUAGGAAAGCAUUCACAGUGAGAAGCACAGUGAGAAGCACGCAAGCGCCUCUAGCGGCUGUCAAUGAGACAGCCACUAGAAGCUGGAUUAACC
RNAcentral lists this long non-coding RNA (2302 nucleotides) under Pelobates cultripes (western spadefoot toad). The record is from RNAcentral. Lineage: Eukaryota; Metazoa; Chordata; Amphibia; Anura; Pelobatidae.